UAUCUCUGUAGAGUCUGCAUAUCAAUAAGCGGAGGAAAAAGAAACUAACUAGGAUUCCCUCAGUAACGGCGAGUGAAGCGGGAAGAGCUCAAAUUUGAAAUCUUCAAGGUUUUACCUUGACGAAUUGUAGUUUAAAGAAGUGUUUUCUGUUGGAGUUUUGGUAAAAGUUCUUUGGAAUAGGACAUCAUAGAGGGUGAGAAUCCCGUAUUUGACCAUUAUUUCCAGCUUUGUGAUACACUUUCAAAGAGUCGGAUUGUUUGGGAAUGCAGUCCAAAAUGGGCGGUAAAUUUCAUCUAAAGCUAAAUAUUGGCGAGAGACCGAUAGCGAACAAGUACCGUGAGGGAAAGAUGAAAAGAACUUUGAAAAGAGAGUUAAACAGUACGUGAAAUUGUCAAAAGGGAGGCGUUUGACACCAGUGUUGUUUCUACGAAAAUCAAUUUAUGAUGGCUUGAUGCUAAGCUUUAAGACUUUAUCCGCUUGUUGUUUAGUUUUCUUGUCUUUGUGAAUGCACUUUUCGUGGAACAAGUCAACAUCAAUUUCUUUUGCUGUAAAAGGGUAAGAGGAAGGUGGCUUCGGCUUCGGUUGAAGUGUUUAUAGCCUUUUAUCUCUGCAGUCGGAGAGAUUGAGGUCUGCAGCGUAGACUCUUCGGGGUUAGAUACGUCGGUGCUAAGCUAUAGCUUUUCAUAGACAACUUGUUGACUAUGUUUAGUCAUGUGGCUUACCCGCUGGCGCUAUUUUACCUACGCUUAGGAUGUUGAGUCAUCACACAUCUCU
Molecule: ribosomal RNA, 774 nt
Filed under: uncultured Neocallimastigales
Lineage: Eukaryota; Fungi; Neocallimastigomycota; Neocallimastigomycetes; Neocallimastigales
Description: partial large subunit ribosomal RNA
Rfam family: Eukaryotic large subunit ribosomal RNA
Source: RNAcentral